GAUGAACGCUAGCUACAGGCUUAACACAUGCAAGUCGAGGGGAAACGAUAUUGGAAGCUUGCUUCCGAUAGGCGUCGACCGGCGCACGGGUGAGUAACGCGUAUCCAACCUGCCCACCACUUGGGAAUAACCUUGCGAAAGUAAGACUAAUGCCCAAUGAUAUCUCUAGAAGACCUCUGAAGGAGAUUACAGAUUUAUCGGUGAUGGCUGGGGAUGCGUGUGAUUAGCUUGUUGGCGGGGUAACGGCCCACCAAGGCGACGAUCAGUAGGGGUUCUGAGAGGAAGGUCCCCCACAUUGGAACUGAGACACGGUCCAAACUCCGACGGGAGGCAUCAGUGAGGAAUAUUGGUCAAUGGGCGAGAGCUUGAACCAGCCAAGUAGCGUGCAGGAUGACGGCCCUAUGGGUUGUAAACUGCUUUUAUAAGGGAAUAAAGUUAGUCUCGUGAGACUUUUUGCAUGUACCUUAUGAAUAAGGUCCGGCUAAUUCCGUGCCAGCCGUUGCCUUAA
This 508-nucleotide ribosomal RNA is filed under the name uncultured bacterium. Its description in RNAcentral is "partial 16S ribosomal RNA". It matches the Rfam family "Bacterial small subunit ribosomal RNA", at positions 28 to 523 of the family's 1533-position model. The record is from RNAcentral.